CCUACGGGAGGCAGCAGUGAGGAAUAUUGGUCAAUGGACGAGAGUCUGAACCAGCCAAGUAGCGUGAAGGAUGACUGCCCUAUGGGUUGUAAACUUCUUUUAUAUGGGAAUAAAACAGGGUAUGCAUACCCUCUUGUAUGUACCAUAUGAAUAAGGAUCGGCUAACUCCGUGCCAGCAGCCGCGGUAAUACGGAGGAUCCGAGCGUUAUCCGGAUUUAUUGGGUUUAAAGGGAGCGUAGAUGGGUUGUUAAGUCAGUUGUGAAAGUUUGCGGCUCAACAGUAAAAUUGCAAUUGAUACUGGCAGUCUUGAGUACAGUUGAGGUAGGCGGAAUUCGUGGUGUAGCGGUGAAAUGCGUAGAUAUUAGGAGGAACACCAGUGGCGAAGGCGGCCUGCUGGACGAUGACUGACGUUGAGGCUCGAAAGCGUGGGGAGCAAACAGGAUUAGAUACCCUGGUAGUC
RNAcentral lists this ribosomal RNA (460 nucleotides) under uncultured bacterium. Its description in RNAcentral is "partial 16S ribosomal RNA". It matches the Rfam family "Bacterial small subunit ribosomal RNA", at positions 338 to 795 of the family's 1533-position model. The record is from RNAcentral.